RNAcentral lists this ribosomal RNA (253 nucleotides) under uncultured bacterium. Its description in RNAcentral is "partial 16S ribosomal RNA". It matches the Rfam family "Bacterial small subunit ribosomal RNA", at positions 524 to 776 of the family's 1533-position model. The record is from RNAcentral.
UACGUAGGGUGCAAGCGUUGUCCGGAAUUAUUGGGCGUAAAGAGCUCGUAGGCGGCUUAUUGCGUCUGCUGUGAAACCCCGCGGCUCAACCGCUGAACUGCCGUGGGUACGGGCAGGCUUGAGUGCGGUAGAGGUAGCUGGAAUUGGUGGUGUAGCGGUGGAAUGCACAGAUAUCAUCAGGAACACCAAUGGCGAAGGCUGGUCUCUAGGACGCAACUGACGCUGAGGCACGAAAGCGUGGGGAGCGAACAGG